RNAcentral lists this transfer RNA (77 nucleotides) under Bacillota bacterium. Its description in RNAcentral is "tRNA-Arg". It matches the Rfam family "tRNA". Rfam says of the family: Transfer RNA (tRNA) molecules are approximately 80 nucleotides in length. Their secondary structure includes four short double-helical elements and three loops (D, anti-codon, and T loops). Lineage: Bacteria; Bacillati; Bacillota. The record is from RNAcentral. RNAcentral also lists the same sequence under 1 other name.
GCACCACUAGCUCAGUUGGAUAGAGCACUGGUCUUCGGAACCAGGUGUCGGGGGUUCGAAUCCCUCGUGGUGCACCA